UCCGUCACUAACGAACCAUCCUUGGAAACUAGAAGAGUAACAAAGAAGAGAAAAGGACUAUAGCUGCCUCAAUCAUAGAUUGGAUCAAAAGAAUCACUGCAGAGCUUUGGACUUGUAGGAUGUGAUACUUCGGAGUUCAUCUACAAAAACAUGCUGUACAGACAAAGAGGAAACAACUGCUUAUGGCUGAUAUCAUCUGCUUGAAAUAGCUGUCUAUCACAAAAAAUUGUAAAACCUUUGGGUUUUAAGGUGUGUCUAUGCAUGUAUGCAAAAAGAGGUUCUUUGCCUAAAAUGCAAGACCAGCUUGAUUUAUUUUGUAUGUCACACUGCAUAAAUAUUCCCAUCUGCUUUGCAAAGGGGAGAAAAUACGAGAUCCGAGGUUAGCUCAGCUUGUUUGCGGAGGAUAGGUGGUUAGCUUAUUUUCAAACUUACGGAAUGAUACUCAAAAAAAAAAAAGAUACAACAAACUGUAAUGACUUAAAACAAAGAGAUGAGUAAUUGCCAAUAAUUCAAGGCAAAACAACUGAAUUCCUUCUAUGAUAGGACAGUAAGAGAGUAGCUAUGGAUGCCACCUAUCUUGACUUUAGUGUGCCUCUGACUAUGUUUUACACAACCUUCUUGACUAUAAGUGAGGAAGAUGUGUUGUCCACUAAAUGACUGUGAAGUAGGAACAAACCUACCUGGAAGACAGUGUUUGGAGAAGAGCUAUCAAUGCUUCACUAUCAAACUCAAAGCAUUUACUGAGAGGGGAUUCCCAUUCAGCCGUUCCCCAUCCAUUAUUUUCAGUACAUUAAUGAGUAGCUUACUUACAUAACAAAGUAGAAUAUUUAUGCUUAAAAAUAUACAGCUUUUACCAAAUUGGAACAGUCUGGAAGUGCAUUGGAAGUUGGUAUUACAAUGCUAAAUCAUCUUCACAAAUUGGCAACAAGCACUGGGAAAAAACCAGCACAAACGCAAAGUGUGAUAUGUAGGUAAGGACAAUAAACCACCCAAGUACUGGUUAUGUUGCAGCUCUGUACGGGUUUAUCAUGGAUCAGACUGAACAAUGUCAGCAAUGUCAAGCUUUUGUGAAAACAUCAACCAUCGUGCUGGGAUAUGACAUAAGCAGAGUCUGCAACAAGUGAAGUAACGAUUCUUCUCUCCUGACCAAUGGGAAGAACUCGGCUCCGUGCUGUGCCUGAUUUUGGACAUUACACUUCAAGAUGUGACCCGUUAGAGUGCGUCUAAAGGAGAAUGAGAGAGUGCGUCUAAAGGAGAAUGAGAAUGGCCAGAAAUGAGGGAUGUCACUUUUGAGAAGAGUCUGAUCAGAGGUACAAGCCUUCAAAGGUCUAAAAGUAACAAUCAAAAGGGAAAGUCAACUUGUUCUUCCUGGCUACUGUGGACAGGUUGAAAAGGAAAGGAAUCUCCGCAAGGGAGAUUUAAGUUGCACACCAGAAAGGGAAGCUAUUAAGAUCUGCCAUACUGGGUCAUACUGCAAGUCCUCGUAGCCCAAAUACUGGCCAUCUAGGCUAUCAUCAUCAGGCUCUCAAGCACUGAUGAUGUCUGAGCUCUGGAAGGUAGCAUUUCAUAUUGAGAUCUGUCCAACAUAUCUAGCAUUUUUCUUUUUUUUGGAUUAAAAAGGUUAUGGUGAUGUCUGCAUGUUCCUAAGGGAACGUCUCAGUUUUGCAUGGAUUAAACUGUGUUUGCUUUAGCACUCUAAUGAUGAUGAUCUCCUGUCACAGGGAGAAGUGCCCCUACGAAUGCUACAGAUAUAGCUGUUGUUUUCACAAUAUCUUUCUGUUAGAUUUGCAGGUUUCGGGAAUUACCUGGAUCGGAUGGCGCUGCUUCCCCUUAGCUUUUUUCUGCAUCUGUUGGAAAAACCUUUCUGGUUUUUCAACUAUUUUUCAACCAUUUUUUGAUCUUUUUUUUACAGUUAUCUGUCACAAAGAUGUUCAUUUCCGUGGGUUUUUGUUUGCAGCAAGUACGUGUUGUUGUGUUUUCAGCUCCUGCAGAUGAUCUUUCAGGAAAAAUAUUUUAGUGCUGACUUGUUCAGUUAGUCAGCAAAGGUAUUUUGCAGGACUAAUUAAGCCUUGCUAACUUUCUGUAGCACUUACAGCUCAUUGAUUUACCAUAAAUGCAUGCAAUCCUCUUGCCGUCUUGGCUCAGGAUCAAAACAGUCCUAAGUGGAGUGCCCUCCAUAUAGUCAGGUCAGCUGAGAAUAUUUGGGCUGAAUUGUAUGAUUUUCAUCUUUUUUUUAUUUUGAGAAUUAAAAAAAAAAGUUGCAGGGAAAGGAUGAAGCUGUGAAAGGACUAUGGUGGUUGUGCUGGGAAAAUGUAUGAAUAUGACUUGACUUGCUCAGAUGCUUUUGUGGGGACUACUUACUUUCCUUUAAAAGGUAACUAUUCGUAUUUCUUUCAAGUUUUCUAAGUGAAAUGAGUGUUCAAUGGUUAGAUUUACUUCCCAGAAAGCACAGAGAGCACCAGAAAAAAAACAACAACAAAAACUCUUGCUAUUUCUAUACUAUUAAAUUAAAGAGAGCUGGGGAUUGCUGCUGGGCACUAGAUCCAUCCAUCUACACUGACACCAUGCCAGGGCUGCCUCAGCCCAAUUUUGGCCCGUGCAAAAUCAUGGGAUGGGACCCUUGAGACCCUUUCCGACCCUUCUCCAUUAUCGGUUUGCAUUUGGCCAUCUUGUUUUGAAGGAUAAGGUAGUUUAAAGGUAGUUUAAAGGAAGGGAUUUGUGCUAUUCUGUGUCGGCUGGCCUCAUUGCCAGAGAAUGGCCUUGGGCACAUUGAAUUUACUGCCAUAUCAUAGGCCAUCUGUCCUGGACAGACAGGAAGGCAUUAAUGUUUUAUCUCUAGUAAAGGGGUUUCUACCUCAAGGCUGAGGUCAACGCAAGGUCACUAUGAAAAAUCUUGGCCUCUAACUGUUUACACAGUGACUACCCUUCUGGUUUGUACAAGAUCUGCCAGUUCCCAACAUAACCGGCACUUUUGCUGUUAAGAACACAAAUACUCACUAGUGAUAAUUACCGGAAAAAAUACAGAGCUCCUCGUUCCUUCCCCUUUUACGAAAGCUAACUUUGUCCGAUACUAUUUGACAUGUAUUUGUACAGGACUGAAGACAAACGCUGGAAAACCGUAGCUGAUCUUAUUUCUCAGUAACCACUAGCAGAGCAAAGCAUAAAAAGAAUAAUCUCAACCCCGCCAACAAUCUUACAGCCUAGACACCCCGAUAAAUUAGAGAAUAAUACAUUCCCACGGAGUCUUGGGAUUUAACCUUGAAAGAAUCCACCGUGACUGAGCAGAAAUCUUUCAGUCAAGCAUCACAGGAGAACGAGAGAGUCCUGGAACUAAUUGAACCAAAAGAAUAACGAGAGGUCAUCGCUGGAGUGACGAGAAAGGCUGCAGGAUAGCUAGCCCCAGACUUGUGAGGAAAAAAUGAAAAUAGCAACAGUAAUAUUAAAAAAUACUAAAACACACUCUUCUCUUCCCACAAAGAACCCUACAUGGUUUUAAAAAAUGGUGAGAAAGAGGCUAUUAGGAGUUAAAAAGAUAUCCUGCAGAAUACAGAAGUCAUGUCCAAAAAAGAAAAAUAGAAAAUAAUAUUAGCUCUGACAAGUUAAAUAUAAAACUGAAAUAAGGCCAGCCACAAAGGAUUUUGAAGAGCAACUUGCUAAAAACAAACAAGCUCAUAAUAAAAUAUGUUUAAAAGGACCUCAGAAGCAGGAAGUUGGCUAGAGAGCGAGUGGGACUAAUACAUGAUUGAGGUGUAAAAGGAAGAUUAAAAACCCCAGCAGGAAAGCAAAAUAGACUGUUUGCACUAUUUCACUCCAGCGAAAAUCCUGAAGGUUCUCUGAUCCUUUCAAUUAUGAUGGAUAAAUCUAUAGAACUGCCUCAGUUGAACUGCCAAUAAAACCUAUUUCUAAACAAAUCAACAGAGGAAACAGGAACAAAUUGCUAAGCAGGAUCACCUUGAAAUGUUCUAGACCUGGGAUGAUGGUUCUUUCAACCUUCCUAUUUUCACUCCUCUUCUGGCUCCUUCCACCUCCUUCCUUUUAUCUGAUGAAUAUGACAUGCAGUCCCUGUACGGAUUUGUUCUAAAAAAAGGUUUUACUGACACUUCAAUCUGGGGAGUGCUCCCAGCACUCAAGGGAGCCCAGCUAAAUUGGCUUCCAUAGGCAUCUCUCUGAAGGGAGGGGAAGGUGGCACUCUGCUCACACAGUCUCCUCUUGCUGUGGCCUGCUUGCUAGCACUAGGCAGAAUUAACUCAAGACCUGCAAAAGAAAUCAGACAUGAAGGUGAUAAACCAUCAGCUGUGGCACAUAGGACAAAAGCAUGUGAAGAACCGUUCAUAAAGAACUGCGAGCAAAACGCAGAACAUCAUUAUGCCACUGCAUAAAGCUUUGGCUACAACUACUAACACAAGUCUUGAUUCCCAAAUACGGCUAUGGUCACCUCAUCUCAAGAGACUGUGCAGGAAAACACAGAGAAGGACAACAGGGACGCUCAGAAACACAGAACAAUUUUCACACAAAGAAACUAAAUUGGCUCAGACGCUUCAGCUGGAAAAGAAACAAUUCAGGAGAAAGGUGAUGGACAGAUAUCUGUGAAACCAUCGGUAUUACCAAAGGUGAAAAUGCAAUAAUUCCCCGCUCUCAUAAUACCAGGAAUAGGGUUCAUUCCGUAGAACUAGCAGGCAAUCUUUUAAAACAAACAAAAAGAAAAACUUCCUUUCUCCAUACAACACAUAAUUAAAAUUAUAACGCUAAUUGGAACAGGAGACUGUGAAGGCCUCAAGUGCAAAUGGAUGCAAAGAGGGAUUUGACAAAUUCACAGAGCUAGGUUACUCAGGGGCUGUAAAAAAUGAGGGCCUUGAUGCAACUUCCAACUCAGGGAAUCUCUAACGCCUGGACUGUCAGAAGCUAGGACCUACAUGUAGUAGGGAUGCUACAGUAUCCCAGUCCCAAGCACCGCCUACUGACUGCCGCUGACUACUGGGCUGGACAGACCCUACAUUUGACCUGGUACAGUCCUUUUUAUUUCUUUAUGUGCCUCCAGACAAAACAUGAUCCUAAUUUUCUUUUCUAAAACACAGAAUGACGUUGCUUAAGAUAAAAUGUGGUAACAACUUCAACCUUGUUACAUACUGUUUCUCUAAUGAAGAAGCCAACCUAAUAAAACCUAAUAAAAGCA
This is a non-coding RNA of Struthio camelus australis, 5173 nucleotides long. Lineage: Eukaryota; Metazoa; Chordata; Aves; Struthioniformes; Struthionidae. The record is from RefSeq and is a predicted model, not a curated record.